AUGCCCAAUGGGGCACAAGCCUCGGCUGAGGAAGGCGAGGCGAGCGGGGGCGAGAGCCAGGAAGAGGAGGAGUGGGACUCGGAUGCCGCAGGGGGUGAUGACGACGAUGAUGAUGAUGAAGAUGAUGAAGAUGACAUCGAGGACGAGGAAGAAGAGGAAGAGGAGGAGGUCAUUCCACCGCGCUCAGAAAGGCGGUCGAAGCUUGUCCACGACCCUUCGACCGAACGUGGCAAGGGGGUUGCGACCGCCACCCAGUCGACCAAGCGCCCCCGGACCACCUCUCCAGCGCCGACUGAAAAGGCGCCGAAGCAGCCCAGGGCGGCCUCAUCGAAGCCGACCAAGCUCCUGCCGAAGAUGAAGGUGUCCAUCCCCACCAUUUCAGGCGCUGCUACCUCUGAGACUUCGGCCCGGGCCGAAGACCACGAGAUGGAGGAUGCGGCAACUUCGAACCCAGGUACUAUAUUCUUAACACCGUUGUUAGUCGACUGA
Molecule: ribosomal RNA, 489 nt
Filed under: Triticum aestivum (bread wheat)
Lineage: Eukaryota; Viridiplantae; Streptophyta; Magnoliopsida; Poales; Poaceae
Description: partial small subunit ribosomal RNA
Source: RNAcentral